Molecule: long non-coding RNA, 1454 nt
Organism: Colius striatus (speckled mousebird)
Lineage: Eukaryota; Metazoa; Chordata; Aves; Coliiformes; Coliidae
Exons: 2
Source: RefSeq, a predicted model, not a curated record
GCAUGGUUCCGUGCUGCACCCUACAUCUCACUGCACACAUCCACGUUCAGCACAGCUGCUGCGACAGGCGAUAACGGCACCUGAAGCAAACCCUGGGGACAGCCAUCUGCAAAUCUCUAAAUGUCCCUUCCAACCCAUACCAUUCUAUGAUUCUGUUGAUAAAUGAUGGCCUGUAACACCACACACCCUGGGCAUAUGCUAAGCCUUGCUCAGAGCAAGCACAGCUCUUAGUGAAGGCACUGCACAUGCUCGGCUCCUUCACACAAAAUUAGUGUAGGAAACGCAGAGUAUGUUAAAACUGUUGGGGCGAGUGAAAAGUGUGAACUGAGUAGGGGAGGUGGAUAACUUCCCACAACUAAAAUCUGUAUCUUCAGAGGGGUCCUCUCUGACCCAUUUGGUAGGGCAUUACUGGAUGCAGGCUCGCUGAUCAGGAAAUAGUGAUCAGCUAAAAGUUCCCUUCCCCUGGGGAUUUCUCUGCUGUGUCACACAGAGCUUUUUGGCAAGGUGGCAGUUUUCAGCCCUUCUACCCUCCUCCUGGCAGAACCACAGGUUGUGGCCACAGACGAUGAAGCUGGAGAUAGAAAUAGGUUUUCCACUGAGACACUUCAACAACUAUCAUCUCUCGCAUGUGUGUUUCUGAAGCAGGACCUGCACACUAUCUCCCCUCCCAUGUGUCCCAAUCCUCCCUCUGAGAGCCUAAUCUCAUGUCACAACUUAUCCGGCUGGUCCUCGUGCUGCCUGCCCCACCCAGCCUGGGCCAGAUGUCCCUGGCCAAGGGGCCCUGGAAAGCCUGGAGGAUGCUUGCCUCGCACUCUAAGGAAGGCCCUCGUGCAGAACAAGGAGUGCCGCCAUGUGCCACCACGAGGGAAAAUCAACCAGAUGAAAUUCAGUAGCCAAAGGUACACAGCACCCUGCUAAAGAAGAUCAGCUAUGCGUAUACCAAGAUGGGGAGCAAGGGGCAACGGUGGAAGAAAAGGUGCUGUGGGCUGUAAUGAGUUGCAAACUAUCUGAGCACCUGCUAGGUGUUGUGGCACGGGGCAGUCCUAGAUGCUGGAGUCAGCCUGAAGAAGAGCAACUAGAGCUACAAAGCUCGACAUACAAAAAAUGGAUCUGCUGGAUUUUACUGAGGACACAAGAGAUCGCAUCUGAAGAUCUAGUGGGGAAUCCCUGAGUAAAAUUUGGCCUUCCUUGCUGCCUUCGUGGUUUGGAGAAGGAGGAGGAUUCACCGCUUCCUCGUACAGGCCCGAGUGCUCCUCUUGAAUAGCUGGACCCAACCCAAAAGCAGAAGGAAGUGUAUUUUAAAAAAACAGAGGUGGGGUAAUGACACUAUGGCACUUUACAUGUGUUGUGUAAUCCAUGGUGUGUGCGUGGCUCCUGAAAAGCCUGCUGCCCAGUCGCGGUUAAGUCACUCCUUGAAAACAACAAUAAAACCCUAUGAAGCUGUCUGGCUAGAA